CCUACGGGUGGCAGCAGUGGGGAAUAUUGGGCAAUGGAGGCAACUCUGACCCAGCAACGCCGCGUGAGUGAUGAAGGUCUUCGGAUUGUAAAACUCUUUAAGUGGGGCCGAGGAAAGUAACUGUCCCCCCAGACUACGCCUCGGCUAACUACGUGCCAGCAGCCGCGGUAAUACGUAGGAGGCAAGCGUUAUCCGGAAUGACGGGGGGAAAAGGGGGCGUAGGGGGUUCGGCAAGUUAGUAGCGUAAUUCCGGGGCUAAACCUCGGAACUACUACUAAAACUGUUGGGCGUGAGUGCAGGAGGGGCAGAUGGAAUUCCUAGUGUAGCGGUGGAAUGCGUAGAUAUUAGGAAGAACACCAGUGGCGAAGGCGAUAUGCUGGACUGUAACUGACACUGAGGCACGAAAGCGUGGGGAGCAAACAGGAUUAGAUACCCGUGUAGUC
This 443-nucleotide ribosomal RNA is filed under the name uncultured bacterium. Its description in RNAcentral is "partial 16S ribosomal RNA". It matches the Rfam family "Bacterial small subunit ribosomal RNA", at positions 338 to 795 of the family's 1533-position model. The record is from RNAcentral.